GUGAUACGGUAAUUUAUACAAACUGUGCUGCGCCUCUCCUUCAGUCUUUACGGUCUUGAUGUAGCUCAUGUGUCCGGAAGUAGCUCCGGUUGUUCGGCUUCUGAUUUUUGACAGGAAAAAAAAGCUCCAGAAAAGAAGCUGAAGAGUUGUAAAAGUUCGGUUCGGCUGGUGUGACGGGGGCCGGGUGGGGUGAUCCGGUGAACCCCGGGGCUGAAACAUGGGCCUCCUGGCCAGGGUACGGAAGGAAUGGUUCAUCGUCGGGAUAGUGCUGGUCAUCUUAUCGGCCAAACUGCAGCCCAGCGUCGGUGUCAGAGGAGGGCCGUUAAAGCCGGAGAUCACCAUCGCGUACGUUGCCGUCUCGCUCAUUUUUUUCAACAGCGGCCUCUCACUGAAAACAGAGGAGUUGACCAGUGCGCUGCUCCAUGUCCGGCUCCACCUGUUCGUUCAGUCCUUCACGCUCGUCUUCUUCCCGCUGGUCGUCUGGCUGCUGCUCAAAGUGCUCGCACUCACCGCCAUCGACCAAUGGCUGCUCAGAGGGUUACAGACGGUGAGCUGCAUGCCCCCUCCGGUCUCUUCGGCUGUUAUUCUCACCAAGGCUGUCGGAGGCAACGAGGCUGCUGCCAUCUUUAACUCGGCGUUUGGAAGCUUCCUGGGAAUCCUAGUGACUCCAGUGCUGCUGCUGCUGUUUCUCGGCUCCUCCUCCUCCGUUCCCUUCUCCUCCAUCUUCUCUCAGCUCUUCAUGACCGUCGUGGUUCCUCUGGUCCUGGGUCAGGUGUGUCGUGGUUUCUUCAGGGAGUACCUGGAGCGGCGGAAGCCUCCGUUUGGCGCGGUCAGCAGCGUCGUCCUUCUCAUGAUCAUCUACACCACCUUCUGCGACACCUUCAGCAACCCCAACAUCGAGCUGGACCCCACCAGCCUGCUGCUGGUCGUCCUCAUCAUUUUCUCCAUCCAGAUCAGCUUCAUGCUGCUCACGUUUGCCUUUUCUACCAGGUCGGGCUCAGGAUUCAGCCCUGCAGACACGGUCGCCAUCAUGUUCUGCUCUACACACAAGUCUCUAACUCUGGGUAUCCCCAUGUUAAAGAUCGUGUUUGAGGGCUAUGAGCAUCUCUCUAUGAUCUCAGUCCCUCUGUUGAUCUACCAUCCGGCUCAGAUUCUGCUCGGCUCCAUCCUCGUGCCGACCAUCCGGAGCUGGAUGACCAGCCGGCAGAAGUCUAGUCUGUUGUUGAGAUAGGGCCGCGUUCCAACACUACUCCUUCCCUGAAUGGUGAAACUGUCAACUCUUCAGCCCGUCUGACGAGGACGAAAUGUUUCGAUGGUUCUGCACCAGUAUAUGUGUGUGUGUUUUUGCUGUGAUGGCGGACUGCGGCGGAAGGAUACAGUAAUUCGUGCCUUAUUACGAACAACCAACAGAGACCUCAGCGCGGUGGAGGAGACGUGGCCCACCAGUCGCUUUGACUUCUUUCUACGACAAUGAAAAACUCCGUCACAUAUAUAUUCUUUUAUAUUUAAAAGAAGCAAAAGUACAAGUUUUAUUUUUAUAUGAAAUACCCCUAAAAAAAAUCCUGCAAAAAGAAGACAAAUUGUGCUUCUUGGUUUGAAAAACAGCUUCUCUCAGCAGGAGCAGGAAGGGGCGGAGUUACUGGGACCAUUCUCUCUUUUCUUUGGUUUUUCUUGCUAUUUUCUAUUUUCUACUUUUUGUAUUUUCUAUCUUUCUUCAAGCUGUUACUGCCAGAAAACUUGGACAAUUGUUACACUUAUGUUCUUUGAUAGAAUCAAGCUAAUGCUGGAUUAUCUGACAUUUAAUAUACAGUAUAAUAAUGA
Sander lucioperca (pikeperch) is the source of this 1821-nucleotide RNA transcript. It is a transcript of the gene named solute carrier family 10 member 7, with no coding region annotated. The record is from RefSeq and is a predicted model, not a curated record. NCBI's taxonomy places the organism in Eukaryota, Metazoa, Chordata, Actinopteri, Perciformes, Percidae. The transcript has 14 exons.